UUGGAAAAGUUUGAAAAUUUCUGUCAGAGAGUAAAGAUGGAGUAAAAAAUCAAACUAAGGAUUUUCUUCCUGCUUUAGAAAUAAUGAUGAAAAAUCUUGAGAGAAAAGGAAAUUCUACAGAUAUUAUUAUAUCUGGCCUUAGUUUUUUUGGUGUUUUCUCUGUUCCAUCAUUGCUUUCUAAGACAAGAAAGAGGUCCUCACCUUGUGCUGCAUUUGCUGAAGAAAUUGUUCCAAAAGUUCAUGGUCGUCAAAUGAUCACAUAUGGUAGAAAGCGAUCAUUAUUAUCAGCAGUAGAAAAUAAAUCUACCGCGGAAUCUGGAUUUUCUUCUUCAUUGAUUGAUUCUAGUACUCCUCUCAAUGAAAUAGUGUUUAACAUAUCGUCUGAAAAUGGAUGAAUGUAUAAAAAACUGAAUGAAGUUCAUUUUUACUAACGUGGAAGGAUUUUUCAGCUUUUGUUAUAAAGAUUUUUAAAAAAAUGUAAUCUGCAAGAUGAGCAAAAGGGAAUAAGUUAAAAAUAAUCAGCGUAUCUGCAAAUUGUUCUUUGUGGUGAAUUAGAAAUUGAUUCACAGGGUAGAUAAUUCUUGAAACAUCUUAAAAAUUUGGUUAACUGCAAAAUGUUUGGAAAUAAGAAUGUUGCUUCAUCAAUGUUGGUUAGUGAAUAAUAGUUAGUGAAACUUGUGAAUAUUCCCUUCUUUUACAGUGAGUCAUUAGCUGAUUUGCCAUUUUCUGGGAAAAGCCAAAUGUAUUGCUCAGUUUGUAAGGAACUUUUAAAGGCAGGCUUUUCAUAUAUAUUUGCAGUGUAAUGGUUAGUGUAAUUCAGUUGGCCUUAGGUUUCAUCCUUGAUCAGGAUAUGCUGAUUUUUCAAGACUCUUGUUUGCAGCAACUUAAUGGCUUUAUAGUGGGCCUGACCUAAAUAAAAUGUGUUAGAUGAUAGCUCACCACCGUUUAAUUUGGUAAGCUGAAACUUGCUCCUUCCUUUAACCACUUAAAACCUUUGAACGAGCAGCAAAAAUUAAAGACAUAUUUUCUGUCUGUUCUUGUGAUGUAGUGGUUAAGAUAACAGUUAGCAGAGAAAGAGGUGGAAUCAGUUUUUAGGAAGGGUGUAAGUGACAUUUUGAGAACCUUAGUCUCAAAAAUUUAAUGAUUCUGAAGGUUCAUUAUAUCAUCAGUGAGAAUUUUGCCUAGCUUGGUAGACUGAUAUUGCAGUUGCAAGAGAGAGGAGAUAACACAAACAAUUAAUCCUUACAUGCCAGUUGAACCUGCACACAUCAGCGUCAGCUUAUUGGCCAGUCACCAUUAAUCACUAUGCUGACUAGAGCAAAACUCAUAAAAAGUUAUCUACUAACUAUUAGAUGCAUUUUCAACAAGAUCUUUUAAGCAGCUCAAUGGGAAACUUUUUAUGUAUGUGUUGUUAUGUAAACUGAAAUUCUGUACUGAAGGAAUUAAAUGAGCUUUAUAUAAAGUGCAUUUCCUGUAGCUCUUUACUAAUUUUGAACUAUGCAUAAAUCUUAUCUUUUAACCUAUGAUGAAUUUAUUUAUGCUGUUUAUUUAGCACUGGAUUGCCUGUGUGAACAUAAUUAAAUUAAAGUGAAAGAGAAAUCAAAUUGAUAUAGUGACCUUGUGGCAGAUUCAGAUGUCACAGAUUCAAGUCAGCUGAAUCUUUAUCCAUCAUGGCCUAUAUUUAUUGUUGUAUUUUGUCUGCCAAUUAAAAAAAUUGUAAUAAAUGUAAUGCAGAUGAUUAUAUGAUACAUAAAAUGAUAUCUUUUUUCAGUAAUGCAUAAUAAUAGUAGGUAUCUUUUUAUAAUACUAAUAUAGUUUCAUUCAAAACUAAAACUCUUCAGAUGUUUAUUUAUAUAGAUUUAUCAAGCUUUAAGCUAUGCAUGUAUUUUAUUUGUGAUAAAGAAUGCAUUUAUAUAUAAUUUUUGUAUAAAUAUAGAAAUGAUUAAAACAAAGCGAAAGCUUAAGUUAAUCAAGAA
RNAcentral lists this long non-coding RNA (1976 nucleotides) under Stegodyphus dumicola. RNAcentral describes it as "uncharacterized LOC118186777". The record is from RNAcentral. Lineage: Eukaryota; Metazoa; Arthropoda; Arachnida; Araneae; Eresidae.